GUCCACGCUGUAAACGAUGAAUACUAGGUGUAGGGGGUAUUGACUCCCUCUGUGCCGCAGCAAACGCAAUAAGUAUUCCGCCUGGGGAGUACGGCCGCAAGGUUGAAACUCAAAGGAAUUGACGGGGGCCCCGCACAAGCAGCGGAGCAUGUGGUUUAAUUCGACGCAACGCGAAGAACCUUACCAAGGCUUGACAUCCUGCUAAGCUCAUGGAAACAUGAGGUCCCUUCGGGGGAGCAGAGACAGGUGGUGCAUGGUUGUCGU
This 264-nucleotide ribosomal RNA is filed under the name uncultured bacterium. Its description in RNAcentral is "partial 16S ribosomal RNA". It matches the Rfam family "Bacterial small subunit ribosomal RNA", at positions 793 to 1055 of the family's 1533-position model. The record is from RNAcentral.